UACGGAGGGUGCAAGCGUUAUCCGGAUUCACUGGGCGUAAAGCGCACGUAGGCGGCUUACUAAGUCAGGGGUGAAAUCCUGGAGCUCAAACUCCAGAACUGCCUUUGAUACUGGUGAGCUUGAGUCCGGAAGAGGUGAGUGGAACUGCGAGUGUAGAGGUGAAAUUCGUAGAUAUUCGCAAGAACACCAGUGGCGAAGGCGGCUCACUGGUCCGGUACUGACGCUGAGGUGCGAAAGCGUGGGGAGCAAACAGG
Molecule: ribosomal RNA, 254 nt
Filed under: uncultured bacterium
Lineage: Bacteria
Description: partial 16S ribosomal RNA
Rfam family: Bacterial small subunit ribosomal RNA
Source: RNAcentral